UUUUUUUUUUCUGAAUUUUUUGAUACCUUUGGUAGAUACCCAAUUGUUCAUCGAGUUAGGUUAGAAGGGCAUAUACUAGCCUGCUUUACGAGGCUAGAGUUCCAAUCUUAGAUCAAGAUCAUUUAAUCUCAUAUUAAUUGAAGAAUUAGAUAAUCAAGGGCAUAUAAUCCUCUCAGGUUUCUCUUAUUUUUAGUAGUAAAAUUAUAUAU
This 209-nucleotide long non-coding RNA is filed under the name Musa acuminata (dwarf banana). Its description in RNAcentral is "long non-coding RNA (MACU_LNC009793)". The record is from RNAcentral. Lineage: Eukaryota; Viridiplantae; Streptophyta; Magnoliopsida; Zingiberales; Musaceae.